CCCCGUGCAGAAGCGGGGAUAUUAACAUAAGACGAGAAGACCCUAUGGAGCUUUAGACACAUGACAGAUCAUGUUAAAAAUCUCCCUUAAGAAAAAAACCCAUUGAACCCUGUCCCAAUGUCUUUGGUUGGGGCGACCACGGGGUAACACAAAACCCCCGAGUGGACCAAGAGUACUAGACUCUUAAACCCAAGAGCUACAGCUCUAAGCAACAGAAAUUCUGACCCUACAAGAUCCGGCAACGCCGAUUAACGAACAGAGUUACCCUAGGGAUAACAGCGCAAUCCCCUUCUAGAGCCCAUAUCGACAAGGGGGUUUACGACCUCGAUGUUGGAUCAGGACAUCCUAAUGGUGCAGCCGCUAUUAAGGGUUCGUUUGUU
This 380-nucleotide ribosomal RNA is filed under the name Floridichthys carpio (goldspotted killifish). Its description in RNAcentral is "partial 16S ribosomal RNA". It matches the Rfam family "Bacterial large subunit ribosomal RNA", at positions 2049 to 2581 of the family's 2925-position model. Lineage: Eukaryota; Metazoa; Chordata; Actinopteri; Cyprinodontiformes; Cyprinodontidae. The record is from RNAcentral.